Podarcis muralis (Common wall lizard) is the source of this 4864-nucleotide long non-coding RNA. The record is from Ensembl. Lineage: Eukaryota; Metazoa; Chordata; Lepidosauria; Squamata; Lacertidae.
AUGGUGCUGGAGGGCUACUCAAAGGAGCUCCCUGGCGCCCCGAGCGGCCACUUCUUCCGCUCUGUGGCCAGCAGCUCUUCCGACGGACAAGGGAAAUUGGGUGCAGGAGAAAGUCCUGCGAAGGAGGCAGGGAUCCCACCCCUUCAAGGCCUGGAGAAGUGCUUGAAAGAGAUCCCGCUGGGUGGGGUUUCUUGCCCAAACGCCGUUCUUACGGGAAGUGACUUCUCUGCCCAGAAGCCCAGGAGGAUGGAGGCGUCUUUGCAGAGGCUGUGGGACAGAGGCGGCGCCACAAACAGCAUCCUGCCACGUCCCACGAGCUCCUCUGGCUCCGUGGCAGCGGAGGCCGCGGUGGAAGCUUCUCCCCUCGACCGACUGAUGAGUUGCCUGAAGGAGAUCCCCAUUCAGAGGCCGAGUUACCUGAACACGCCCAGCGUCUCCUCGUCCGCCUCCAGCUGCAGCGAGAGCGAGCGCCAGAGCCCCGGGUGCAGCCUCUGGUGGGACUGCGCUCAAGACACAGGAUCGGAGAUGGAAGGGACUUUGCGGCAGAAGGGGAUGGAGUCCAGGCUGCAGAGCGCGUUGCUUGCUCCCGAGGAGGAAAGGGGGCUUCCUUCUGCCCGAGAACCAGAGCUUGUCACCAUGGGCAGCCGAGCGCCAUCGGCCUCCCCUCUCGGUGGCCUGGAGAGAUGCUUAGACAGCAUCGCCAUGAGCCAGCCUCUCCCCUCCAACAUCCCACCUGGUGAUGCCAAGAGUCCGGGCGAUGUGGUACCCAGGAGAUCCCGGCAAGGGGUGGUUGGAUCACAUCCCACAAAUCCUCCAGCAGAUGACAACCUCUCCCACGACCCACAGAUUGGUCCGAAAGAUCCAGCGGCAGCCAGUACCCCGAGUCCUCCCAGCACACCAGCCCAGGACUCCUUCGGUGGAACGCCUGAGAGGAACGUGGAAGGCCGUGUUCAGCAUCCCCAGGCGGAAGCUGCGAGGAAACGGACACCGAGCAGCUCCUGCCUCCAAGGCCUGGCGAAUCUCCUGGCUGAAAGGCCCGCCAACCCUCCUUGUCGCUUCCAUCCGCUCCCCAGCAAGGCCCAGGGCAGCUCGGAGCAAAGGGAAGCGCAGGCGAGCGUCUCUUCGGCCGAGGAAGAGCUUCCAACAGGUCAGAGGAGCCGCCUGAAGGAAAGGUCGAUGGGCAGCGACGGCCCGGCCACCACGCCCUUGAGCAGUCCACAGAGAGUGGCUGGGCACAGGAGCCCGACCCCCGAGGCUGGCAGGGGGCACCAAGGAUCCGCCCCCUCAAGCGCUCUGGCCUGGGGCAGCUGCCCCAAGCGGAACGGGCGGCAUUUCUGCCUCUCCAAGUUCGGUGCUCAGAGGCCGAGCAAUUCCAGCUCCCCCAAGAGUGGGGUGAAAAGGUCGCUGGGGGCAGCACAGGGAGGUGAGGACCAAACUCCGGGCACCUCGUCCCACAGCUGCAAACUGCAAGGCGAUGCCGAGUCAGGAAAUCUGUGCAAGAAAAGGUGUCUCAGUGUCGACCCGAAUCCGGUCCUCUGCACCUGGGGGAACGGGAAUCCUCAGGAACGCCGCCCUGAGGUUGAAGACGGCAUAGGUCCGGCGCUGUCGAAGAAGCUGGACCGCCUUUCUGCGGACAUGAGCGCCGUCUGCCGGGACGUCUCCCGCCUGCAGAGCCACGUGGACCGCUUGGAGCAGGAUGCCCGGGGCUGGGUCCUGGAGCUGGCGGCGCUGCGCAUGGAGAACCACAGCCUGAGCGAGUGCGUGCGGCGCAUGGAGGGGCGCUUCCGCGCUCUGGAGAACCGCUCCCGCCGCAACAACCUGCGCGUCCUCGGCCUGCCGGAGGGGAGCGAAGGCAGUGACCCGGUCGCCUUCUUGCAGAAGACUCUGCCCACCCUGCUGGGCCUGCCCCUGGAAGCCCCGCCCCUGGAGAUCGAGAGCGCCCGCCGGGUGCAAGGGGGCGCCUCCUGGGACCCCAGCGGCAGGCCCCGGCCCCUGGUGCUCCAGCUCCUGCGCUCAGGAGACAGGGCGGCCAUUUUGCAGGCGGCCCGCGGGAGGCCCCUCAGCUACUCCGGCGCGCAGAUCACCAUCUUGCCGGACUUCUGCUCCUCGCUUUCACAACGCAGGAGGGUUCCCUUUGGGACGUUCCGGAGGACCCGGUGGGCGGCGGACCUCUGCUUUGGCUCCCGGCACCCCUCCUGCUGCUAUGCCUGGGCACCGGGCCUACGGGAGCCUCUGGCUGGCUCGGGGGCCCUGAGGGGCGAGAGAGAAAGCCGGCUUCCCAGAGGGGUGGGGAACUGGGGCACGGAAACCUUACCCGGCCCGGGGCAUCGUGGGGGGUGCCACUCCACAGGGAGCUGCGAGCAGCACAAUGACAACCCCUGACACGGUUCUUGGCAGAGGGUGGCAGCGGUUGGCUUGCUCCUCUUGCUCUUUGCCCUGGGCGGGGCCUGUCCUCAGGCGGCGGACGCUGCAGGGGCAGGCGGCAAACUAUUGGUGGCCGUGCAUCUUGCCCUUCACCCCUCCAGCUGGUCAGGCUCGGCUGCCAGCCCAGUUGGCUGCUGUGGGCGCCAUUUUGCUUCCGGGGUCCUUCCCCACAUUCCUGCCCCUGCUUCUUCGUCAUUUCUCUGGAGCUGCUUGGCAAAAUCUUUUGGAUGCCAUUUGAGCUUAGGUCCUCCGUCUUGAGGGUGCCCCGUCGUCGUUUCUCAGGCUGAGAAUGCCCCCCCUUAAAUGCACCAUCCAUCCAAGUUACAACAGCCCAGAGACUGGGGUUUGGGGGGGCACCCCCUUGCCGUGGGGGCCAAGCUCUCUUCCUCUUAAGGCUCAGUGAAGCCCUUUCUUUGUGUUUAUAUUCAGGCCUCGGCUGGCUGGCGACAAUUCAGGGUCAACGUGUGUUUUUAAAACGUGUUGCUUUUAUAUUUUUCAAAGAAUCAAUAUUUUAUAUGGGUAUUUUGCUUCUAGGUGUGGCUGUUAACAUGCCCGCCCAGAGCCUUUGUGGAGAGGGGUGGCUAUAAAUAUGAAUAUUAAAGAAAUGAACUUGAAUAAUAAAGAAAUGAAGUUGGGGAAAUAUCUGUGCCUCUUGGAAGGGUUAUUUUCGAGGGCGUGUGCAGCUUCUGGGCAGCUCGUAGGUGUUUGUUUGAUUGUUGAAAUAUUUUAUUUAUUUUCAUCAUUAAAAAAUUUACAUGCAAACAGUUUGUGUAACCAUUUUGUGAGAUUCUCUGAAUGAAAAUUGUGGAGAAUGUCCUGAUACGUAGUUUUAAGUUCUGUUUUAAGGAGCCAGUUAGAGGAUGGGGGGCAGUCACGAGGUUCAUAGGUGUUUUGGGUCAGGUGUGGGGAACCUUUGGCCCUCCAGAUGUUUCUGAACUACAACUCCCAUCAGGCCUGGCAAGUGGGGAUAAUGGGAGCUGUAGUUCAGCAACAUCUGGAGGGCCAAAGAUUCCCCCCACAGAGAACUUCUCUUCCUGGGCGUUCCACUUGAUUUCAGCUGAGAACUAAUUCCAGGGGACUGAAGCAGCAACACUAGAAGCCCGAUUUCUAGUAGCACCAUAGAAUUUUAGAGUUGGAAGGGACCUCAAGGGUCAUCUAUCCCAACCCCUGCAAUGCAGGAACCCCACCUAAACGAAGGGCAUGAGCUGCCCUCAGCUGCGCCCUCUCCGAGCAGCGCAGUUGAUGGGCACCGAUAGAGGAAAUGAGCAGUGACUCCGGUAGAGGCGUCAACCUUUUCGCCUGAUUCUUCCGCCUCAAACCUCAGCUUCCUAUUACAGCAGGCCAAACCAAAAGACAAUAAAAAACCCCUCACAUGGGACAGAGUUGCUCCCCGAUCCCCAACCCUGGAAUUCUGACAGCCCCCUUUGCUUACUGAAUCUCUGCAUCCUGUCUGAAGUUUGUUAAAAGUGCAGGACGAUUGCCAAGGAAAAUGUGUUGGCAGCCAGUCCCGGGAUCUUCUCCGCAGGCACCCAGUUCCCCCAAGUGGAACUAAAGUGGUUUUCUGCUGGUCUUCAGCCUCAAGUGCCGUGAAGUAAUAGGAGCAGACACAGACCCCCCUCUCUGCCUGUUGUGCCAGGCAAUUUCCUGGCUUGGAUACAUCAUUGGAGAGGCGUUUUGGACACCCUUGUGUUCCCCUGAAGCAGUCCUGCAAACCGGAGAUCACCUCCAUGGUGCUGUUUGUGGGGGGAAACGGAACCCCAGAAUUUCCAGCUCCACCAGGCAAAGAUCACCCCAACAGAUGAUUGGGCUACGCCAUCUUGAUGGAUACAAAUGACAAGAGUUCUUCAGAAAAACCUUACUGCUUCAUCUUAGGCCACAUUCACACCAUAUGUUUAAAGUUCUAGGAUACACCUUUAAACGGUCAUAAGAGCAUAAGGAUCAGGGCUGCAAGAACACCCAAAAAAAAAAAGAAUGGCAAGGCAAAUUAUUUAGUUAUAUUGAAUUGGCUGAAUUGACAGAGUCUAUUGGGGGUCAGCCCAAGCAAAAAUUCUAAAAAGAAUGGGGAAAAUAUAGCGAAUACCUUAAAAAGCAGUGCCCUCAAAUUAAUACUUGGACUUGUUUCGAUUAACUUCUGCAAAACAAUUAUGGCGUAAAAGUUAAAAACAUAAGAAAGGGGUAAGAAAGAAAAUGGAAAUGGUUUACCAAAAAUACAAAUAGAACCGUGCUGAGGAUGAAGGAAAUCAAUUGGAAGAAAGAAGAACUGAAAUGUGGUAUAUACAUAUUGUUUAUUAUUCGUUUUGUAUAAGUUUCUGUAUAUUACUUUGAUAAUUGUUUUUUCAUUUUCAGUUUUUUGUUUUUCUUUAUUUGUUUUUUAUUAUUUUUAUGUUUAGUUGCAUGAGUGUGUGCGUUUGUGUUGUAAAAUAAAAUUUAAUAAAAAAUU